GGGGGGUGAAUUAGUGCAACGGAAAGAUUACGUCUCGAUUAAAACUUCAUUCGAUAAAAACCAUUUCCGACGAAAACCGAUCUUGGAAAUAUCUUAACUUGAAACACGUUCGUAAAUGAAUUGAAGACAGUAAGCAUUUAAAGAGGUUUGUAGUAAGGUAAUAGCAAGAAUAAAAUGCAAACCAGAGAACAUGAUAGUUUUAGAGUGGUUUGGUCAACGUGACC
Molecule: long non-coding RNA, 224 nt
Filed under: Musa acuminata (dwarf banana)
Lineage: Eukaryota; Viridiplantae; Streptophyta; Magnoliopsida; Zingiberales; Musaceae
Description: long non-coding RNA (MACU_LNC002687)
Source: RNAcentral